This 439-nucleotide ribosomal RNA is filed under the name uncultured bacterium. RNAcentral's name for it is "partial 16S ribosomal RNA". It matches the Rfam family "Bacterial small subunit ribosomal RNA", at positions 339 to 795 of the family's 1533-position model. The record is from RNAcentral.
CUACGGGCCGCACCAGUGAGGAAUAUUGCACAAUGGGGGGAACCCUGAUGCAGCAACGCCGCGUGGAGGAUGACGCAUUCCGGUGUGUAAACUCCUUUUAUAUGUCAAGAAAAUGACGGUAGCAUAUGAAUAAGCACCGGCUAACUCCGUGCCAGCAGCCGCGGUAAUACGGAGGGUGCAAGCGUUACUCGGAAUCACUGGGCGUAAAGGACGCGUAGGCGGGUUGGAAAGUCAGGUGUGAAAUCCUACAGCUUAACUGUGGAACUGCACUUGAAACUUCUAAUCUAGAGUAUGGGAGGGGGAGAUGGAAUUAGUGGUGUAGGGGUAAAAUCCGUAGAUAUCACUAGGAAUACCUAAAGCGAAGGCGAUCUCCUGGAACAUUACUGACGCUAAGGCGUGAAAGCGUGGGGAGCAAACAGGAUUAGAUACCCGCGUAGUC